CACUAUGAAGCUUAGAGCGUUAACCUUUUAAGUUAAAACUAGAGAUCUCCAAUCUCCAUAGUGA
Molecule: transfer RNA, 64 nt
Filed under: Anisomys imitator (squirrel-toothed rat)
Lineage: Eukaryota; Metazoa; Chordata; Mammalia; Rodentia; Muridae
Description: tRNA-Lys
Source: RNAcentral